RNAcentral lists this non-coding RNA (844 nucleotides) under Chalcides ocellatus. Its description in RNAcentral is "partial 12S ribosomal RNA". It matches the Rfam family "Bacterial small subunit ribosomal RNA". The record is from RNAcentral. Lineage: Eukaryota; Metazoa; Chordata; Lepidosauria; Squamata; Scincidae.
ACAAAGUUUUGGUCCUAAACUUGCCAUUGUCUUUAAUCAAGAUUACACAUGCAAGUCUCAGCACCCCAGUGAAAAUGCCCACAAACCCCAAACAGACCUCCGGAGCAGGUAUCAGGCCCAAACCUACUUUUAGCCUAAGACACCUUGCUACGCCACACCCCCACGGGCACUCAGCAGUGAUUAACAUUAACCAUAAGCGAAAGCUUGACUUAGCCAUGAUUAAUAAAAGUCGGUAAAUUUCGUGCCAGCCACCGCGGUUAUACGAAAGACUUAACACAAUGGCCAUCGGCGUAAAGUGUGACUAGAGCAAUUAAUCAAAGCCUUUAAAGAUGAACCACUAUAAAGCCGUAAAACGCUACUAUAAGUGAGAACCCCGCUAUCUCUAAAACAAAUGAUUACUUAACCUCACGAAAACUAAGACACAAACUGGGAUUAGAUACCCCACUAUGCUUAGCCAUAAACACAGACAACUACAAACACAACGCUGUCCGCCAGAGGACUACAAGCGAAAAACUCGAAACUCCAAGGACUUGGCGGUGCUCCACACCAGCCUAGAGGAGCCUGUCCUAUAAUCGAUACCCCACGUUAAACCUUACCGCCUUUUGCCCCCCAGCCUAUAUACCGCCGUCGUCAGCCUACCCUGUGAAAGAACCAACAGUAGGCACAACAGUUAUUAACUAGCACGUCAGGUCAAGGUGUAGCACAUAAGGCGGAAGAGAUGGGCUACAUUUUCUGCCACAGAACAAACGAACGGCACAAUGAAACACGUACCCGAAGGCGGAUUUAGCAGUAAGACAGACAAGAAAUGCUAUCUUAAACCCGCUCUGGAGCGCGCACACACCGC